CAUUACCGAGUUUACAACUCCCAAACCCCUGUGAACAUACCUAUUUGUUGCCUCGGCGGUGCCUGUUCCGACAGCCCGCCAGAGGACCCCAAACCCUGAUUACAUUUAAGAAGUCUUCUGAGUAAACCGAUUAAAUAAAUCAAAACUUUCAACAACGGAUCUCUUGGUUCUGGCAUCGAUGAAGAACGCAGCGAAAUGCGAUAAGUAAUGUGAAUUGCAGAAUUCAGUGAAUCAUCGAAUCUUUGAACGCACAUUGCGCCCGCUAGUAUUCUGGCGGGCAUGCCUGUCCGAGCGUCAUUUCAACCCUCAAGCCCCCGGGCUUGGUGUUGGGGAUCGGCGAGCCUCCGCGCCCGCCGUCCCCUAAAUCUAGUGGCGGUCUCGCUGUAGCUUCCUCUGCGUAGUAGCACACCUCGCACUGGGAAACAGCGCGGCCACGCCGUUAAACCCCCAACUUCUGAACGUUUGACCUCGGAUCAGGUAGGAAUACCCGCUGAACUUAAGCAUAUCAAUA
RNAcentral lists this ribosomal RNA (511 nucleotides) under Neonectria sp. nwa_besc_211cl. RNAcentral describes it as "eukaryotic LSU rRNA". The stretch from base 144 to 297 matches the Rfam family "5.8S ribosomal RNA". Lineage: Eukaryota; Fungi; Ascomycota; Sordariomycetes; Hypocreales; Nectriaceae. The record is from RNAcentral.